This 253-nucleotide ribosomal RNA is filed under the name uncultured bacterium. RNAcentral describes it as "partial 16S ribosomal RNA". It matches the Rfam family "Bacterial small subunit ribosomal RNA", at positions 524 to 776 of the family's 1533-position model. The record is from RNAcentral.
UACGUAGGGUGCGAGCGUUAAUCGGAAUUACUGGGCGUAAAGCGUGCGCAGGCGGUCUCGUAAGCUGGGUGUGAAAGCCCCGGGCUUAACCUGGGAAUGGCAUUCAGGACUGCGAGGCUCGAGUGUGGCAGAGGGAGGUGGAAUUCCACGUGUAGCAGUGAAAUGCGUAGAGAUGUGGAGGAACACCGAUGGCGAAGGCAGCCCCCUGGGCUAACACUGACGCUCAUGCACGAAAGCGUGGGGAGCAAACAGG